Molecule: long non-coding RNA, 809 nt
Organism: Syzygium oleosum
Lineage: Eukaryota; Viridiplantae; Streptophyta; Magnoliopsida; Myrtales; Myrtaceae
Exons: 2
Source: RefSeq, a predicted model, not a curated record
UAGCCAGCAGGUUCGGCGCUACUUGCUCAACAUUACUCGGUGGCUUCGGGGGGCGCCACCGGCGGAGAUCCGGCGAUCCCCAAGGCCUCGAUUUUGUCGGAUCGAGGAGCAUCAUGACGACCCCGGAAACCGGUUGUGUCGUCAAUUGCUCCCGCCAUUGUCAAGUCAGUUUUCUCGAACAAAUACUUCCAACCCUUGUUAGUUGUAUUGACAUGUUAGUACAGGAAUGUGCGUUGAUCACUGAGCAUCAAAUAUUAUGUGCGAGAUAAAUCCUUCCGGUAAGCUCAUCUUUCACUUGUAAGGUUCGGGGUGUACAUGCGAGAUGGGGGAGGUUUAGCCAGCUUUGGACUUUGGGAACAGAAGGGCUGCACCGUCAAAUUGGAGUUUUGUCUGAUCAAACUGUCUGCAUGCAUGUCGUCGUUUGCUUCGCUCCGUUUUCUUAUGAUUGUCCGGCACAGUGUGGUUAAAGCCGUGCUUGCAAAGGUGUGACUGUAAAUUAGUGUUUUGUUUCUUGCAGGUACCUGCUUCGUCAUACCCACCAAAAAUUCCACCAAAGUGAAUUUUAAGAUCUUUCGAGUCAGUGAAAGAGCAAUGGGUUGCUUUUCCCAUCUGGGUCUAUCAUGGGCUGAAGCCCUGCGGCAGAGCAAGAUCGACGUUUUUGCCGGAAGCCGGAAAAUAAUUUCCCGCAGUACCAUGUAAAUAAUGUAAAUUUGUUUGAACCCCGGGCACGGGGUCUUGGUAAAUUAUUAGCUUGUAUGAUAUCUCCAAUGACUUUGUCAAUAAAAGUUCCAUCAUUUCUGACUAAAGAA